CCCUUAGAUGUCCUGGGCCGCACGCGCGCUACACUGAGUGUCUGAGAUACGAGUCUGCCUGGUCCGGCAAGGUCUAGGUAAUCGCUAAAAGACACAUCAUGCUUGGGAUAGAUUAUUGCAAAUAUUAAUCUUGAACGAGGAAUUCCUAGUAAGCGCAAGUCAACAGCUUGCGUUGAUUACGUCCCUGCCCUUUGUACACACCGCCCGUCGCUACUACUGAUUGGAUGUUUAAGCGAGGUUCUCGAACUGCUAGCGACUUAGCUUCGGUGAGGUCGCAGUGUGGGAAGUGAACCUAGCUUUGGUAUCUAGAGGAAGUAAAAGUCGUAACA
RNAcentral lists this ribosomal RNA (329 nucleotides) under uncultured eukaryote. RNAcentral describes it as "partial 18S ribosomal RNA". It matches the Rfam family "Eukaryotic small subunit ribosomal RNA", at positions 1470 to 1796 of the family's 1831-position model. The record is from RNAcentral.